UAAAGUGCGAUAUCUAAUGUGAUUUGCAUGAAUCUGUGAGUCAUCUAGUCUUUGAACGCAACUUGCACCUCUCGAGAAAUCGAGCGGUAUGUCUGUUUGAGAACCACAAACCUCUUUGCUUACCUUUACUGGUAGCAGAUAUGAGACACUAUGAGUGUCUUGAAAUAAAGCAUGCAAGGCUUGUGAGCGUGUGCCAUGUGCUAGAGAUCGCAAGAUCUUGUCAUGGUGUACGGGAGCGGCCGAAUUUUUUAUACAUUUUUUAAUUGAGGUCUCAAAUCAGGCAAGAUUACCCGCUGAACUUAA
This 303-nucleotide unclassified non-coding RNA is filed under the name uncultured fungus. Its description in RNAcentral is "sequence contains ITS1". The stretch from base 1 to 106 matches the Rfam family "5.8S ribosomal RNA", at positions 49 to 154 of the family's 154-position model. The record is from RNAcentral. Lineage: Eukaryota; Fungi.